UACGACCUACGGGGGGCAGCAGUGGGGAAUAUUGCACAAUGGGGGAAACCCUGAUGCAGCAACGCCGCGUGAGUGAUGACGGCCUUCGGGUUGUAAAGCUCUGUCUUCAGGGACGAUAAUGACGGUACCUGAGGAGGAAGCCACGGCUAACUACGUGCCAGCAGCCGCGGUAAUACGUAGGGAGCGAGCGUUGUCCGGAAUUACUGGGUGUAAAGGGAGCGUAGGCGGGAUUGCAAGUUGGAUGUGAAAACUGCGGGCUCAACCCGGAGCGUGCAUUCAAAACUGCGAUUCUUGAGUGAAGUAGG
This 305-nucleotide ribosomal RNA is filed under the name uncultured bacterium. Its description in RNAcentral is "bacterial SSU rRNA". It matches the Rfam family "Bacterial small subunit ribosomal RNA", at positions 334 to 655 of the family's 1533-position model. The record is from RNAcentral.